GAGAGCCGGAUGAGGGGAGACCCUCAUGUUCGGUUCGGAGGGCGGGGAUAUCCCGACCCUAAU
Molecule: non-coding RNA, 63 nt
Organism: Triticum aestivum (bread wheat)
Lineage: Eukaryota; Viridiplantae; Streptophyta; Magnoliopsida; Poales; Poaceae
Source: Rfam